RNAcentral lists this RNase P RNA (311 nucleotides) under bovine gut metagenome. RNAcentral's name for it is "Bacterial RNase P class A". It matches the Rfam family "Bacterial RNase P class A", at positions 31 to 352 of the family's 367-position model. From Rfam's summary of the family: Ribonuclease P (RNase P) is a ubiquitous endoribonuclease, found in archaea, bacteria and eukarya as well as chloroplasts and mitochondria. Its best characterised activity is the generation of mature 5'-ends of tRNAs by cleaving the 5'-leader elements of precursor-tRNAs. The record is from RNAcentral.
GCUUGAAAUACAGAGGAAAGUCCGGGCUUCACAGGGCAGGAUGCCGGAUAACGUCCGGUGGAGGCAACUCUAAGGAAAGUGCAACAGAAAGUAUACCGCCUGCACUUGCAGGUAAGGGUGAAAUGGCAGUGUAAGAGACUACCGCCCGGGUGGUAACACGCGGGGCAUUGUAAACCCCAUCCGAAGCAAGACCAAGAAGAAGCGAUACGGUUGCCCGCCGUGCUUCGGGUAGGUCGCUUGAGGUCGGCGGUAACGUCGAUCCUAGAUAGAUGAUCGUCACGGUUUUACCGUACAGAACCCGGCUUAUGUUU